CCGUACUAUGCGGGGAGUUAGCGAUGCCCUGUCGUCCGCAAUUCGCUUAGCGGAGCAGAAUGCCGUUUUAGGCUUGCGUCGUGGAAGGCCGCGUUUAAUAAGGGACGUUGAUAUUAAGGUCUUAUGCAACGUGUCGCCGUGAACCGUGUCAGAGUAGGAAUACAGCAGCACUAAGCGGAAUGAUUCGUGUGAUAUGAGGUUGCUUUAAGGGAGUUACCUGUUAUCCUAACGCUUCGGCGUCGCCUGUCGAGAACGGACGUACGG
Molecule: signal recognition particle RNA, 264 nt
Filed under: Clostridiales bacterium
Lineage: Bacteria; Bacillati; Bacillota; Clostridia; Eubacteriales
Description: signal recognition particle sRNA large type
Rfam family: Bacterial large signal recognition particle RNA
About the family: The signal recognition particle (SRP) is a universally conserved ribonucleoprotein involved in the co-translational targeting of proteins to membranes.
Source: RNAcentral